This 372-nucleotide ribosomal RNA is filed under the name uncultured bacterium. Its description in RNAcentral is "bacterial SSU rRNA". It matches the Rfam family "Bacterial small subunit ribosomal RNA", at positions 524 to 898 of the family's 1533-position model. The record is from RNAcentral.
UACGGAGGAUCCGAGCGUUAUCCGGAUUUAUUGGGUUUAAAGGGUGCGUAGGCGGCACUUUAAGUCAGUGGUGAAAGACGGCAGCUUAACUGUCGCAGUGCCUUUGAUACUGAAGUGCUUGAAUGCGGUUGAAGACGGCGGAAUGAGACAAGUAGCGGUGAAAUGCAUAGAUAUGUCUCAGAACACCGAUUGCGAAGGCAGCUGUCUAAGCCGUUAUUGACGCUGAUGCACGAAAGCGUGGGGAUCGAACAGGAUUAGAUACCCUGGUAGUCCACGCCCUAAACGAUGAUAACUCGAUGUUCGCGAUAUAGUGUAAGCGUCCAAGCGAAAGCGUUAAGUUAUCCACCUGGGGAGUACGCCCGCAAGGGUGAA